RNAcentral lists this microRNA precursor (141 nucleotides) under Sorghum bicolor (sorghum). RNAcentral describes it as "pre miRNA MIR2118". Lineage: Eukaryota; Viridiplantae; Streptophyta; Magnoliopsida; Poales; Poaceae. The record is from RNAcentral.
GAGGGGUGGCGACGGGAGCAGAGCUCCUGGGAGUCGUCGGACUGGACGAACUGGAAACUCGCAACGCGUUUCUGCGCUGCGCACUUUCCUAUUCCAUCCAGUUCGAUGAUUUCCAUGGGCUCCUUCCUUCGCCCGCACCCA